RNAcentral lists this ribosomal RNA (1389 nucleotides) under Bacillus vallismortis. Its description in RNAcentral is "bacterial SSU rRNA". It matches the Rfam family "Bacterial small subunit ribosomal RNA", at positions 65 to 1437 of the family's 1533-position model. The record is from RNAcentral. Lineage: Bacteria; Bacillati; Bacillota; Bacilli; Caryophanales; Bacillaceae.
AGCGGACAGAUGGGAGCUUGCUCCCUGAUGUUAGCGGCGGACGGGUGAGUAACACGUGGGUAACCUGCCUGUAAGACUGGGAUAACUCCGGGAAACCGGGGCUAAUACCGGAUGCUUGUUUGAACCGCAUGGUUCAAACAUAAAAGGUGGCUUCGGCUACCACUUACAGAUGGACCCGCGGCGCAUUAGCUAGUUGGUGAGGUAACGGCUCACCAAGGCAACGAUGCGUAGCCGACCUGAGAGGGUGAUCGGCCACACUGGGACUGAGACACGGCCCAGACUCCUACGGGAGGCAGCAGUAGGGAAUCUUCCGCAAUGGACGAAAGUCUGACGGAGCAACGCCGCGUGAGUGAUGAAGGUUUUCGGAUCGUAAAGCUCUGUUGUUAGGGAAGAACAAGUGCCGUUCAAAUAGGGCGGCACCUUGACGGUACCUAACCAGAAAGCCACGGCUAACUACGUGCCAGCAGCCGGGGUAAUACGUAGGUGGCAAGCGUUAUCCGGAAUUAUUGGGCGUAAAGGGCUCGCAGGCGGUUUCUUAAGUCUGAUGUGAAAGCCCCCGGCUCAUCCGUGGAGGGUCAUUGGAAACUGGGGAACUUGAGUGCAGAAGAGGAGAGUGGAAUUCCACGUGUAGCGGUGAAAUGCGUAGAGAUGUGGAGGAACACCAGUGGCGAAGGCGACUCUCUGGUCUGUAACUGACGCUGAGGAGCGAAAGCGUGGGGAGCGAACAGGAUUAGAUACCCUGGUAGUCCACGCCGUAAACGAUGAGUGCUAAGUGUUAGGGGGUUUCCGCCCCUUAGUGCUGCAGCUAACGCAUUAAGCACUCCGCCUGGGGAGUACGGUCGCAAGACUGAAACUCAAAGGAAUUGACGGGGGCCCGCACAAGCGGUGGAGCAUGUGGUUUAAUUUGAAGCAACGCGAAGAACCUUACCAGGUCUUGACAUCCUCUGACAAUCCUAGAGAUAGGACGUCCCCUUCGGGGGCAGAGUGACAGGUGGUGCAUGGUUGUCGUCAGCUCGUGUCGUGAGAUGUUGGGUUAAGUCCCGCAACGAGCGCAACCCUUGAUCUUAGUUGCCAGCAUUCAGUUGGGCACUCUAAGGUGACUGCCGGUGACAAACCGGAGGAAGGUGGGGAUGACGUCAAAUCAUCAUGCCCCUUAUGACCUGGGCUACACACGUGCUACAAUGGACAGAACAAAGGGCAGCGAAACCGCGAGGUUAAGCCAAUCCCACAAAUCUGUUCUCAGUUCGGAUCGCAGUCUGCAACUCGACUGCGUGAAGCUGGAAUCGCUAGUAAUCGCGGAUCAGCAUGCCGCGGUGAAUACGUUCCCGGGCCUUGUACACACCGCCCGUCACACCACGAGAGUUUGUAACACCCGAAGUCGGUGAGGUA